AGCAGCCGUGGUAAUUCCAGCUCCAAUAGCAUAUAUUAAAGUUGCUGCAGUUAAAAAGCUCGUAGUUGAAUUUCGGGACCAAUAUGUCGGUCGUGCUUCGGUACGUACUGUCAUAAUUGGUUUCUCCCUUCUGAAGAACCUUGAUGUCAUUAAUUUGGUGUCUUGGGGAAUCAGGACUGUUACUUUGAAAAAAUUAGAGUGUUUAAAGCAGGCUCGCGCUUGAAUACAUUAGCAUGGAAUAAUGAAAUAGGACGUUUGAUUCUAUUUUGUUGGUUUCUAGGAUCGACAUAAUGAUUAAUAGGGAUAGUUGGGGGCAUUAGUAUUCAAUUGUCAGAGGUGAAAUUCUUGGAUUUAUUGAAGACUAACUACUGCGAAAGCAUUUGCCAAGGAUGUUUUCAUUAAUCAAGAACGAAAGUUAGGGGAUCGAAGACGAUCAGAUACCGUCGUAGUCUUAACCAUAAACUAUGCCAACUAGGGAUCGGAUGAUGUUAAUUUUUUAAUGACUCA
This 507-nucleotide ribosomal RNA is filed under the name uncultured Glomus. RNAcentral describes it as "SSU rRNA". It matches the Rfam family "Eukaryotic small subunit ribosomal RNA", at positions 569 to 1078 of the family's 1831-position model. Lineage: Eukaryota; Fungi; Glomeromycota; Glomeromycetes; Glomerales; Glomeraceae. The record is from RNAcentral.